AUACGGAGGGAGCAAGCGUUAUUCGGAAUCACUGGGCGUAAAGGACGCGUAGGCGGGUUUGUAAGUCAGGUGUGAAAUCCUACAGCUCAACUGUAGAACUGCACUUGAAACUACAGACCUAGAGUAUGCAAGGGGCAGAUGGAAUUAGUGGUGUAGGGGUAAAAUCCGUAGAUAUCACUAGGAAUACCGAAAGCGAAGGCGAUCUGCUGGGACAUUACUGACGCUGAGGCGUGAAAGCGUGGGGAGCAAACAGAAUUAGAAACCCUAGUAGUCC
This 274-nucleotide ribosomal RNA is filed under the name uncultured bacterium. RNAcentral describes it as "partial 16S ribosomal RNA". It matches the Rfam family "Bacterial small subunit ribosomal RNA", at positions 523 to 796 of the family's 1533-position model. The record is from RNAcentral.